ACGUAGGGUGCAAGCGUUAAUCGGAAUUACUGGGCGUAAAGCGUGCGCAGGCGGUUAUAUAAGACAGAUGUGAAAUCCCCGGGCUCAACCUGGGAACUGCAUUUGUGACUGUAUAGCUAGAGUACGGCAGAGGGGGAUGGAAGUCCGCGUGUAGAAGCGAAAGGCGUAUAUAUGCGGAUGAACACCAAUGGCGAAGGCAAUAACCUGGGCCUGAACUGACGGUCAUGCACCAAAGUGUGGGGAGCAAACAG
Molecule: ribosomal RNA, 251 nt
Filed under: uncultured prokaryote
Description: partial 16S rRNA
Rfam family: Bacterial small subunit ribosomal RNA
Source: RNAcentral